Molecule: RNA transcript, 2151 nt
Organism: Juglans regia (Persian walnut)
Lineage: Eukaryota; Viridiplantae; Streptophyta; Magnoliopsida; Fagales; Juglandaceae
Gene name: protein MAIN-LIKE 2-like
Exons: 7
Source: RefSeq, a predicted model, not a curated record
UUCUGGGAACUAAACAAUUUGAAGGAUUUUUGUUGGGUGGGGGAUUGGGGCAGAAGAAACAACUGAAAAAGGGAGGUGAACUUAGAGAAUGUGGGUUUUUUGGACAAACUAAAUGGAGCUAGGCUUUUGCUGUUAAUCUUUGCUUUUGGACAUACUGGAAAUUGGAAGGAUCUAAGGUUAGAUCUCCAAUUAUGUAAAUUUGCAGUCUAUUUGAUGAAGGCUAGUGCAGCAGUCUAAACAAUGGAAGUUGCAUUUUUGAAGGGUCUUAGCUUUCAAGAUGGACUUCCAUGAGAAUUCAAAUGGAGCCUCCUGGAGAUCCUGGGCCAAUUGAUAAUUCGGUACUUUAUGAUCAAGAUAACCAUGUCUCUUCAGCUGUUUGGGAUGGGCAGGAGCGAGGAGUUCUUAGAUGUCAUGAACACACGUCACUACUUGAUCAAUGGAAGCUCACACCUAAACAAAUUGAGUUGGUUGUGAAGGCAGGAUUUCAGUACUUACGAAUGAUUCCUGCAAUUAAUUUUGACAGUGCACUCAUAGCAGCACUAGUUGAGAGGUGGAGGAGAGAGACAAAUACCUUUCACUUGCCUGGUGGAGAAAUGACAAUUACCCUCGGAGAUGUAGCACUCUUGCUUGGACUAGCUAUUGAUGGAGAGCCUGUUAUAGGUACAACAAGCAGCACUCCGAGCUCGUUGUGUGCAAAAUUACUAGGAAGAGUACCGGAAGACCUAAGUGGUGGAAUGGUGAAGCUUACCUGGUUGAAAGAGUUCUUUUCUCAGUGUCCCAAAGAUGCACCGAUUGAAGAGAUUGAAUGCCGAACACGUGCUUACCUCCUAUACCUGGUAGGCAGUACAAUAUUUUCCACAACAACUGGAAACAAAGUCCCUGUCAUGUACCUGUCAUUGUUUGAGGAUUUUGACAAAGCAGGAAGGUUUGCCUGGGGUGCAGCAGCACUGGCAUUCCUUUAUAGAGCACUCGGCAAUGCUUCACUUAAGACUCAAAGCACCAUUAGCGGCUCUUUGACUCUACUGCAGUGCUGGAGUUAUUAUCACCUGAAUGUCGGUCGACCAAGAUUCAAUCAGGAGCCAAACCAAGGUUGUUUUCCAUUGGUGCUUUGGUGGAAAGGAAAACAAAGCGGUUCAAGAAUGAGAUGUAAUAUAGUUUCCUACCGCAAGGCCUUGGAUUCUCUCAACCCUACUGAUAUAGAGUGGCUUCCUUACAAAGAUAUCGACCAUACAGAAAUACCGGAAGAUAUUAAAAAUACUUUGACCUUACGAGCAUCAAAGACUAUGCUCAUAUGCUUUGAGAAGGCAGAAAGACAUCUCCCAGACCGUUGCCUUAGGCAAUUUGGCAUGCUUCAAGGAAUCCCAAAGGAUGUACAGCGAUGGGAGAGAAAGAGCCGUGCAUAUGAUCAUGGGGUUGACAUCUUGGGCAAAAUGCAAUCUGAGCUUGACGAGUGGUCAAUGCGUCGACUUCAUAUUGUGGAAGGUGAUGAUGACGUGGAUGAGAAGGAGUAUAUGCAGUGGUACCAGAGAAUUACUCGUAAAUUUGUAGGGAGGCUUACAUCUGUUGAGUCCGAGUUUAAGGGAAAAGUUGAAGCUUUGAAUGAAAUUGCAAGCAUGCUAGAUAGAUUUUCAGAAGAUGGGAUGGAUUCCCAGGAUAGGAAGUUACUCGAUGAGGUAAAGGAUAUUGUGCACAACUAUUUGAUAGAUGAAGUUGGAGAGUCACAAAAGAAAAUUGGAACAAAGAGUACAAAGAAACGUAAGCGAAAGGAUGAUUUGAAUUGCGAGGAUGGUCAAUGCUAGAACAGUUGAUGCAGUAAUCAUAUGGAGGAAACUAUGGUUAUUCAGAUGAAAUGAAGAGUUUAUUGCAAAGCGAUUCAGCUUUAUGGAAAAUUCAGAAGAUAAAUACACCUCCAAAUGGUAAGGAACAUUCGCAUCUCAAAUCGUAUGGUAAUACAUAAGGAUUCUUGAAUGAAAGCAAAAAGGAGUGCUUCCCAACUCCUAUUAUUGCCUAAGAACGUGAAGGUCAUGUACUUUUGGUCGAUGAAUGGGGAAUUAAUGACUAAAAUGGGUUAAUGCAAAAAGUUGGUAUGAAUAAGAUCUCCAGCAUCCUGUAUUCCUUACUGAUAAUGAUGAUAAAUUGCUAUUUAUAUUC